GCGACCUACGGGGCGCAGCAGUAGGGAAUCUUCCACAAUGGGCGAAAGCCUGAUGGAGCAACGCCGCGUGAGUGAAGAAGUAUUUCGAUAUGUAAAGCUCUAUCAGCAGGGAAGAAGAUGACGGUACCUGAUUAAGAAGCCCCGGCUAACUACGUGCCAGCAGCCGCGGUAAUACGUAGGGGGCAAGCGUUAUCCGGAUUUACUGGGUGUAAAGGGAGCGUAGAUGGCAUAGCAAGUCUGAAGUGAAAGCCCAAGGCUCAACCAUGGGACUGCUUUGGAAACUGUUAAGCUAGAGUGCUGGAGAG
RNAcentral lists this ribosomal RNA (305 nucleotides) under uncultured bacterium. RNAcentral describes it as "bacterial SSU rRNA". It matches the Rfam family "Bacterial small subunit ribosomal RNA", at positions 334 to 656 of the family's 1533-position model. The record is from RNAcentral.